GCUGUCGCUCGCCUCGCAAGUCGAGCGGACAGAUGGGAGCUUGCUCCCUGAUGUUAGCGGCGGACGGGUGAGUAACACGUGGGUAACCUGCCUGUAAGACUGGGAUAACUCCGGGAAACCGGGGCUAAUACCGGAUGCUUGUUUGAACCGCAUGGUUCAAACAUAAAAGGUGGCUUCGGCUACCACUUACAGAUGGACCCGCGGCGCAUUAGCUAGUUGGUGAGGUAAUGGCUCACCAAGGCGACGAUGCGUAGCCGACCUGAGAGGGUGAUCGGCCACACUGGGACUGAGACACGGCCCAGACUCCUACGGGAGGCAGCAGUAGGGAAUCUUCCGCAAUGGACGAAAGUCUGACGGAGCAACGCCGCGUGAGUGAUGAAGGUUUUCGGAUCGUAAAGCUCUGUUGUUAGGGAAGAACAAGUACCGUUCGAAUAGGGGGGUACCUUGACGGUACCUAACCAAAAAGCCACGGCUAACUACGUGCCAGCAGCCGCGGUAAUACGUAUGUGGCAAGCGUUGUCCGGAAUUAUUGGGCGUAAA
Molecule: ribosomal RNA, 540 nt
Filed under: Bacillus subtilis
Lineage: Bacteria; Bacillati; Bacillota; Bacilli; Caryophanales; Bacillaceae
Description: bacterial SSU rRNA
Rfam family: Bacterial small subunit ribosomal RNA
Source: RNAcentral